CGGUGGGCACCUGGUCCGGGGAGAUGAAGUGGAUGUGCGUGUCCACGCCGCCGGCGGUGAGGAUCUUCCGUUCCCCGGCGAUGAUUUCGGUACUGGCGCCUAUCACGAUGUCCACGCCGUCGGUGAUCUGCGGGUUGCCGGCUUUGCCGAUCUUGAUGAUGUGGCCGUCCCUGAUCGCGACGUCCGCCUUGUAGAUGCCCGUGUAGUCGAGGAUGACGGCGUUGGUGAUGACGGUGUCCGGCACAUCUUCAUCCCGCGUCACCUGGCCGUUCUGGCCCAUGCCGUCG
Molecule: small RNA, 287 nt
Filed under: Arthrobacter sp. FB24
Lineage: Bacteria; Bacillati; Actinomycetota; Actinomycetes; Micrococcales; Micrococcaceae
Description: 5' ureB small RNA
Rfam family: 5' ureB small RNA
Source: Rfam by way of RNAcentral